UGGAGCCACGGACUUCGAUCCCGCGGCGUCUGGACAGAGGUAAAUCCAUUUGUCCAAGUAAUACCCUAACAUCUGUCCUAGAGAGGGAAAUGCAGACAAGGCCUCCACCACCUAUUCCUCACUACAGACAAACAGAUAAGAAUAAUGGAAACAAUGGCUUGCCGAAAACAUUAAAAGUGGAGCCAGUGAUUGACUACUUCGAUGUCCAAGACUGAAAUAGUUAACCUUAAAUUAUUAUUUAGAAAAAUGGAGGUGAAGAUACAUAUCUAUCAUGCAAGUUGCUUUGUGGCUAAUUAAAUGAUUAACUAUUCAAUAUAUUCAAAGUUUAAAAUAGUAAAAAAGCACUAGCGAGUUAAGUAUAUGAGAAAGUGUAUGAGAAACAUAGCAUUGUCUAGAAAUUAACUAAAAAUGAAACUGAUAUUUUAAAUUUGACUGCAAAUUUUCAGCUGCUCUGACUAUUUUUACGUAAAUUGCAGGUGCAGGUAUUUUUCACCUCAGGCUGGUACAUUUUUCUUCUCUGUUUGUUUGGAAUCAGAGUAUCUUUAAUGAAGUGAAACUGCCUAUCCAUUAAUUUGUAGCUGAAAAAACUGGUUCUUAAACUGAUUCUAUUGGGGUAGUGAUAUUAGUAGCACACAUUCCAAAGAUUUAUACUGAGGGAUCCAACUGUACUGUUAAAAAUUAACAAAUCACAAAUUGCUAUAAUAUAAUCCUAAUGGAUAUAUUUUCAAAGAGUUUUCAUGUGAUUUUAAUCAUUCCAUUUCUACUGCAAACAUAUCAAAUUUGGGAAUGAAGUGUCUGAGUUAUUCCCACAUGGAAUAAAACUAAAAAUUUAGCUCAACUCUACAAUAUGUUACAUAUUCCCAGUGCUUAGGCACAAUGACACCUGCUAAAGAGGAGUACAUCUCAUGUUCACUAGCAUUUGAGGAUUUGGGUACUUUCCAGUUCUUGUUCUUGAGGUGG
Molecule: long non-coding RNA, 960 nt
Organism: Mauremys reevesii (Reeves's turtle)
Lineage: Eukaryota; Metazoa; Chordata; Testudines; Geoemydidae
Exons: 3
Source: RefSeq, a predicted model, not a curated record